Molecule: long non-coding RNA, 633 nt
Organism: Sorghum bicolor (sorghum)
Lineage: Eukaryota; Viridiplantae; Streptophyta; Magnoliopsida; Poales; Poaceae
Exons: 2
Source: RefSeq, a predicted model, not a curated record
GUAUCCACGAAGGGAAACGACGGCGACAGCCUCCACCGCAGUUCUCCUCGGCCCCUCCGCGCCCCUUCCUAUCGCCACACCACAGAACGUCACCUCUCCCCACGUCAACACACUGGCGGCAGCGACGGCCUCAGAAGGCGGCAGCCGGCGAUGGUUUCCUCGUGACUGGAUGCGACCGCGUCGCCUCCCGCACCACUCCCGGUCGCAACGACGGCGCCUGCAACCAGCGGUGCCAUGAUGAGCAGGGAUGUUGAGGAUAUAUGUCAAGACGCCGCCUCUGAGCGAGACUGGAUCAAUGGCACCUGCAAUUCCAUGGUUCUGUUCUCCUGAUGAGAGUAUCAAAGUAUCAUCUGAUACUUUUUAGACUAGAGUAUCCUUGGAUACUUCAGAUUAGAUUAGAUGUAGCAUCACUUCAUGAUCUUUUUUAUAUCGUGGUAUAGUUGAUAAAAAAUUCUUUUUUUAGAAACAGGGAGAAGACUACUCCAAUCUAAUAGUAUGAAAAUGUUAUCUUUUUCAAAGAAGUAUGCAUACACACUACUUUUAAAAAAGUAUGAAUAUGUACUCCUUUGAUGAAAAAAGUAUGUAUAUAUACUCCUUACAAAAAAAGUAUGAAUAUACUACUCCUCUUACCCA